This 1483-nucleotide ribosomal RNA is filed under the name uncultured bacterium. RNAcentral's name for it is "bacterial SSU rRNA". It matches the Rfam family "Bacterial small subunit ribosomal RNA". The record is from RNAcentral.
AGAGUUUGAUCCUGGCUCAGGACGAACGCUGGCGGCGUGCCUAACACAUGCAAGUCGAGCGGAGGUAUGAUGUAGUUUACUACUGAUUACUUUAGCGGCGGACGCGGGUGAGUAACACGUGGGCAACCUGCCUCGAAGUGGGGGAUAACACCGAGAAAUCGGUGCUAAUACCGCAUAACAUACAGACAUCGCCUGAUGACUGUAUCAAAGGAGAAAUCCGCUUUGAGAUGGGCCCGCGGCUGAUUAGCUAGUUGGUGAGGUAAUGGCUCACCAAGGCGACGAUCAGUAGCCGACCUGAGAGGGUGACCGGCCACACUGGAACUGAGACACGGUCCAGACUCCUACGGGAGGCAGCAGUGGGGAAUAUUGCGCAAUGGGGGAAACCCUGACGCAGCAACGCCGCGUGGAGGAAGAAGGUCUUCGGAUUGUAAAGCUCUGUGAUAUUGGACGGAAGUGACGGUACCUUAGGAGGAAGCCCCGGCUAACUACGUGCCAGCAGCCGCGGUAAUACGUAGGGGGCAAGCGUUAUCCGGAAUCACUGGGCGUAAAGGGUGCGUAGGCGGCUGAUCAAGCCAGGGGUGAAAGGCAAUAGCUUAACUAUUGUGAGCCUUUGGAACUGGUCAGCUUGAGUGCAGGAGAGGAAAGCGGAAUUCCUAGUGUAGCGGUGAAAUGCGUAGAUAUUAGGAGGAACACCCGUGGCGAAGGCGGCUUUCUGGACCGAAACUGACGCUGAGACGCGAAAGCGUGGGGAGCAAACAGGAUUAGAUACCCUGGUAGUCCACGCUGUAAACGAUGAAUACUAGGUGUCGGGGGUCAAAGCCCGGUGCCGCAGCUAACGCAUUAAGUACUCCGCCUGGGGAGUACGGUCGCAAGACUAAAACUCAAAGGAAUUGACGGGGGCCCGCACAAGCGGUGGAGCAUGUGGUUUAAUUCGACGCAACGCGAAGAACCUUACCAGGUCUUGACAUCCCCCUGACCGGUACAGAGAUGUACCUUCCCCUUCGGGGGCAGGGGUGACAGGUGGUGCAUGGUUGUCGUCAGCUCGUGUCGUGAGAUGUUGGGUUAAGUCCCGCAACGAGCGCAACCCUUGUCCUUAGUUGCCAGCAUGAAAGAUGGGCACUCUAAGGAGACUGCCGGUGACAAACCGGAGGAAGGUGGGGAUGACGUCAAAUCAUCAUGCCCCUUAUGAGUUGGGCUACACACGUGCUACAAUGGACGGUACAAAGGGCAGCGAAGCCGCGAGGUGGAGCCAAUCCCAGAAAGCCGUUCUCAGUUCGGAUUGCAGGCUGCAACUCGCCUGCAUGAAGUCGGAAUCGCUAGUAAUCGCAGGUCAGCAUACUGCGGUGAAUACGUUCCCGGGCCUUGUACACACCGCCCGUCACACCAUGGAAGUUGGGGGGACCCGAAGCCAGUGAUCCAACCGUAAGGAGGAAGCUGUCGAAGGUAAAACCAAUGACUGGGGUGAAGUCGUAACAAGGUAACC